This 431-nucleotide ribosomal RNA is filed under the name uncultured bacterium. RNAcentral describes it as "partial 16S ribosomal RNA". It matches the Rfam family "Bacterial small subunit ribosomal RNA", at positions 338 to 795 of the family's 1533-position model. The record is from RNAcentral.
CCUACGGGAGGCUGCAGUAAGGAAUAUUGGACAAUGGGCGCAAGCCUGAUCCAGCCAUGCCGCGUGAAGGAUGAAGGGCUCUGCAUUGUAAACUUCUUUUUUGAUACUCCAUGUACCAAAAGAAUAAGGGACGGCUAACUUCGUGCCAGCAGCCGCGGUAAUACGAAGGUCCCAAGCGUUAUCCGGAUUUAUUGGGUUUAAAGGGUGCGUAGGCGGGUUAUUAAGUCAGUGGUGAAAGCCUUCAGCUUAACUGAAGAAUUGCCAUUGAUACUGAUGAUCUUGAGUAUGAUUGAGGUGGGCGGAAUGUGUCAUGUAGCGGUGAAAUGCUUAGAUAUGACACAGAACACCGAUUGCGAAGGCAGCUCACUAAUCUAACUGACGCUGAUGCACGAAAGCGUGGGGAGCAAACAGGAUUAGAUACCCUUGUAGUC